This 491-nucleotide ribosomal RNA is filed under the name uncultured bacterium. Its description in RNAcentral is "partial 16S ribosomal RNA". It matches the Rfam family "Bacterial small subunit ribosomal RNA", at positions 29 to 506 of the family's 1533-position model. The record is from RNAcentral.
AGUGAACGCUGGCGGUAGGCCUAACACAUGCAAGUCGAACGGCAGCACUGUAAGAGCUUGUUCUUAUGGGUGGCGAGUGGCAUACGGGUGAGGAAUACAUCGGAAUCUACUUUUUCGUGUGGGCUAACGUAGGGAAACUUACGCUAAUACAGCAUACGACCUCCGAUUGAAAGCAGGGCAUCUUCUGACCUUGUGCGCAUGAAUGAGCCGAUGUCAGAUGAGUGAGGUGGCGAGGACAAGGCCCAUCAAGGCGACGAACCGUAGCUGGUCUUAGAGGAUGAUCAGCCACACUUGAACUAAGACGCAGACCAGAAUCCGACGAGAGGCAGCAGUGGGUAAUAUUGGACAAGGGGCGGAAGCCUGAUCCAGCCAGGCCGCGUGAGUGAAGAAGACCAUCAGAUUGUAGAACCCUUUUAUUGUAAGAGAAAAGCAGCAGAUUGAUACCCCGCUGGUCAGGCGGUACCCAAAGAAUAAGCACCGGGUAAUUUCGA